UACAGAGGUCUCAAGCGUUGUUCGGAUUCAUUGGGCGUAAAGGGUGCGUAGGUGGCGCGGUAAGUCGGGUGUGAAAUUUCGGAGCUUAACCCCGAAACUGCAUUCGAUACUGCCGUGCUUGAGGACUGGAGAGGAGACUGGAAUUUACGGUGUAGCAGUGAAAUGCGUAGAUAUCGUAAGGAAGACCAGUGGCGAAGGCGGGUCUCUGGACAGUUCCUGACGCUGAGGCACGAAGGUCAGGGGAGCAAACGGG
This 253-nucleotide ribosomal RNA is filed under the name uncultured bacterium. Its description in RNAcentral is "partial 16S ribosomal RNA". It matches the Rfam family "Bacterial small subunit ribosomal RNA", at positions 524 to 776 of the family's 1533-position model. The record is from RNAcentral.